CUUAUGUCCCUCACCUCAGGCUGGGCUGUUGGGGCAAAAAAAACCCUAUAAAAGUCACUGUAGACUCACUCAGCUGUUAUUGUGUCUGAAGCUACAGUUCAACAGGGCUCAUCUGGGAUACAAAACUGCACAAUAACUCAACACGAGAGUCAAGUACAAACAGAUCUGCAAACGUCUAACCAGGAUGAAGCUUUCUGUUCUCCUACCGUUCCUCUCAGCUCUGGCUCUCAGCUCUGGAUCACGCUGUACGGGAAGCAGUAACAACAAUGGCUACAUCAACUUCAAAACGAAGCACAUUCUGAAAGAGACAUUCAAUUUGAAAUCAGACGAAGCGUGGAAAUCAUACCUAGAACGUACAAAAUUCAGAAAUGAAAUGCUCUGUGGAAGAAACACCCCAAACAACUUACAAACUUUCUUUGAGAAAGAUAGCACACCUGACAUUGAAAAAAUCUGUAAUGGUGCAGGCUUUGAAUUAGAAGGCGGUGAAGGCGACCUGUGCACCAGUAAUCGCAAGAUCACUGUUCAUAUGGUCAAAAGCACCACAGAGAACGGUGUGUGCAAAGUAGAGCGUAUUACGUCUGAUCAAAUGUAUGUGAUUGUUGGCUGUGGAAAUGUUGACAACAGAUGUCUGCCUGUACACUUUCAUGGUCAGAAAGAAAACAAACCAAAGAAAACUACUCAACUCUGUAAACCAUAGCUCAGCUCCCUGGUUCCAGCCUCACACUCCAGACGUUCUCUGUAUUACUGAAAUAGGAACAACACCCUCAUUCUGCUUGAGUGUUGGGUUUAGAUUUUUUUGUCUUCAAUUCUGUCAAACUUGUUUGUUUUGGCUUUCUAAUUUUGUGUGUACUCUUCAUGCACGUGCUGUUUUACAAUAUCAAUGCUGCAGUGUUCA
Molecule: long non-coding RNA, 895 nt
Organism: Pygocentrus nattereri (red-bellied piranha)
Lineage: Eukaryota; Metazoa; Chordata; Actinopteri; Characiformes; Serrasalmidae
Exons: 2
Source: RefSeq, a predicted model, not a curated record